UACAGAGGGUGCAAGCAUUAAUCGGAUUUAUUGGGCGUAAAGGGCGCGUAGGCGGGAAAAUAAGUCAGGUGUGAAAUCCCAGGGCUCAACCCUGGAACUGCACUUGAAACUGUUUUUCUAAGAGGUUAGGCGGAGAAAAUGGAAUUCCACAAGUAGCGGUGAAAUGCGUAGAUAUGUGGAAGAACACCAGCGGCGAAGGCGGUUUUCUAGCUUAAACCUGACGCUGAGGCGCGAAAGCUAGGGGAGCAAACAGG
This 254-nucleotide ribosomal RNA is filed under the name uncultured bacterium. Its description in RNAcentral is "partial 16S ribosomal RNA". It matches the Rfam family "Bacterial small subunit ribosomal RNA", at positions 524 to 776 of the family's 1533-position model. The record is from RNAcentral.